GGGGUGGUAUAAACAAAGAAUUGUACAGCUUACAAGUUACAAUCCAGAAUUAAACAGCUCGGUAGCAAAGCACAUAUUGAAUCAUGCUGCCGAUACAAAAAUCCUGCUGUUUAGAAGAUACAAGCUAGGAAUAGAAAAGCAAGCGAAGACUCAACAUCAACAUUGAUAACAUGUGGGAAAAAUGAUUGUUGAGGAAACCAUAGAUAAAUUGGCCGAACUCAACUGCCCAUUUUUCCCAAAACUGGUUUAGCAGGAAAGUUUAAGCAGCAUGUACAAUGAAAUUGUAUGUGCAGCUCCAUUUAUACUAGUCCUGCAUGCAAUGAGUUCUAGACAACCGAAGUUGAUAAAAGUUUCAUGACACUGCCAUACAAACAACAAACAAAUCUGUUUCAGGUCUAAUGAGAGGAAAAUGAUUGUUGGAGAAAACAGAAUAAGCUUAACCCAACUGCCCACUUUCCUCUAAUUGAUAUAGCAGGAAACACUUUCGGCAAAAAAUGCAUAGCAUAAGGCAUUAGGCCGAUACACACUAUCCUGCAGGGUAACAUGACAACGGAAAAAACAAAUGUAAAAUCCAUGAAAAAGUAAAACAUUUCUUUGGUACUGCUAUCUAGAGAGAAAACUAAAAGCUACAGAAGCACAAUAAGGAAUAAAUAAAGCAAGAAUGCAAUUUACAGAUCACCAAAACAGACAUAAUGUCAUAAUAUAAAAAUAUGUAGAGAUAAAUGAGAGGAAAAUGAUUGUUGAAAAAAGCACAAAAGCUUAACCCAACUGCCCACUUUCCCCAGAUCAAUAUAGCAGGAAACACUUUUGGCACAAGACGCACAAAAAAGCGUUAAGCCGAUACACACUAUCCUGCAGGAUGAAGCAUAUACAGUGGGCAGAAUGAUUACCUACUAUACUAAUCUCAUGUAAAAAAAUGAGAAAUAUAUCAGGAACUAGAAAGUGAGACACACCAUAAAUGUUACUGAGCACCAGGAAGAAAUUAAUAGUGACGAAUCUUGUAUUAGUUGCUGAUGUUUGCAACUUAAAAACUAGAACUCUUUACUAGUAAUAAUGUUAAUAAUGAACAUUACAUAACUGAAAAAAACAUGAAGCGCAUGCAUCAGAUCACCUAAACUUAUUCUAUUUAAGCAGCAACUGGGAUCUCAGCUGUAAGAGGCUUUGAAAACUCAUCCUCAUCCUUAGGGGCAUGGAUGGUAACAAGAUCCGGUAAAGGAGUCAUUGGUCCUUGCUUGCCCUUC
RNAcentral lists this small RNA (1241 nucleotides) under Oryza sativa Japonica Group (Japanese rice). RNAcentral describes it as "sRNA Os07g0608450". Lineage: Eukaryota; Viridiplantae; Streptophyta; Magnoliopsida; Poales; Poaceae. The record is from RNAcentral.